This 12203-nucleotide long non-coding RNA is filed under the name Equus caballus (horse). RNAcentral describes it as "lncRNA (ENSECAG00000051281.1)". Lineage: Eukaryota; Metazoa; Chordata; Mammalia; Perissodactyla; Equidae. The record is from RNAcentral.
GAAAUGAAGAAUUAAAUUCAUGCAAAAACCUGCACAUAAGUGUUUUUAGAAGCUUUAUUUGUAAUGGCCAUAAACUGGAAACAAUCCACAUAUCCUUCAAUGGAUGAAUCAUUAAGAAAAGUAUGGUACAUCCAUGCCAUGGACUACGACUCAGCAGUAAUAAGGACUGAACUACUGAUACACAAAACAACCUAGAUGGAUCUCCAGACAGUUAUGCUAGGUGAAAAAAGUCAAUCCCAAAUGGUUAGAUACAAUUUUGUGGAAAAAAUGGAAUUCUAAAGAAAAACUAAGAAACUUUAAGUGGCUGCAAUUAGUAAUUUACAAAACCUCCCCAUCUUGAGGAAAACUUCCCUCUCUUGGCCUCAUAUUUAUCUUCUUGCUGACUAUAGAAAAAAACCUUAUAGCAUGUAUACUGAGUUCAUUCUAAUAGAAUUUUAAAAAAGUAGAUUUCUAGAGCCAAGUGGAAUUUUAGAGAACAUUUACUUCAACUAGAUGUGUAAGGAAGGAGCUGAGGCCAGAGUGGCUAUUAUAUUAGGAAGCCUGGGGUCAGGGCAGGUAUCCAAGUGAACAUAUCCUCUAGGCAAUUAGAAAUACAAGACUGGAGUAGUGCUGAAAACUCAUGACCAGAGAUGAAGACUUAGAUCAUUUUCAUAGAAAUAAUGGUAAAAGUCUUAAAGGAAGAUGAACUUAUCAAAGGAAAAAAAUAUGACUUAUACUAUGACAAAUACCUAAGGGCUACAAAUACCUAGGGUGCAUGUUGGGCAAACACUCACACUUUUCAUUUCUUUUCUAGACUAAAGCCAGCUACUUACAUAAAUAUAAAGAAAUACAGCACAUCCUGGACACCACCCAGAAAUCCCCCUUUUAUAAGCCAGAGGAAUCUUAUGGUAAGCUCUUCAGAAAGCCUCCAGCCUGUGUCCCAGAGGUCAUUUGAAAGUUUAUCACCUCUCAAAGAGCCCAAGAAAAGGAAAAAACAUCCUCGAAUCAAGGCCACGAAGACUAAAGACAUGAAACCUGUCAGCAGCAAAUGGGAGAUUAUUCCAAGUUUUGAGAAGGAUGCAAAUAUUAUCGAAGACAAGAGUCUUCAAGCUGAAGCAUCCAACCAGCCAAGUUCUAUGCAAAGAGCCCACCAUUUAAGUAAAAAUAAGGAGUAGCAACCAAAUAAGAAUGAUGGCCAACCUACCUUCCAUUUGACAUUCCAAAGGGACAAAUAAUCUAGCUUUAUGCUGCUCUGAAAACUGUGGGUGAAAGCUAACAUAUGCUUACAUAGUAAAAAGAAAAAGAAAGCCCUCCAGAUCCCUCUAUCGCUCUUCCUCCCCGACACAUGCAUAUGUGUGCACUGAACUACAAAUCCUGAGUACCCCAGCUUCUUCAGUGGGAAUAUCUUUCAGAGAUUUAAAAAGAAAUCCAGACACAACAUAGAAAAUUUUAAAUCAUUUAGAUACUUAUAUUUAAUUCUUGCCAAGAUGAAAAAAAAACUCUGAUCUUUUGAUUUCUUUCAAAAUGACUUAUUCAUACAACACCAAAAAACCCCAAGAACUCAAGGAAUGAAUGUCAUGUACUAUCACUGACUUUAAUGUCCCUUACUAGGCACUUCAAUGAAUCAGUCGAAAACAUCAUUUCCUGAAUUUCUAUUGUAUCCGUGGUGUGCUAAGAACCAUUAGUUAUAUAAAAGGCAUUUCUCCCCCAAAGAUUACUGAUUAAUUGUACAUACAACACACAUGAGUAAAAUAAUUACAGAAUAAGAUGGUACAUAGUAAAAUGCUCAGUUGUGUACCUCCAACAAUUAGAAAAAAACAGUAUAUAAUAAAAGAUGCUAAUUGUACACAGCAAAAGUGUGCCACAAAAUGUCACUGAAAUGCAUAGAUUAUGAUUUAAAUAGUCAUUUUACUUCUCACAAUUUAGCAAAAAUAUAAAAGAUUAGAUGUGCAGUUUCCUUUAGAGCUGAUGAAUGUACAUCUCCAGCCAUUUAUUCACGUGGAAGCAAGUGGAGGACCUCACAGUGUGUCAUUCAUAAGACAAUACAUACUAGUGAGAUUCCUGAAGGACGCUAGAGAAACAGGUAUGUCAGGCCAAUAAGUCAAGAUGGAUGCAGUAAGUGAGAAAACAGAGUCAACCAGCCUAGGGUUACGGGUCCAUAAUGGCGUCCAUUACAGGAUGAGGCUAAGCAGAAUGAGGAUCAGGUAGGAGAGGUACAUUAAAGUUACAGGUCACAAGCCUAAUUAGGUCAUGGUAGCAAGAUGAAACUAGGAAGAUCUGAGGUUGGGUAGUAUACUCUCAACAAUAUAUCCAGUAGCCAAAGAAAGUAGAAGGAGAACUCGGGAUAUUAAAAGAGUAACAAUUAUAUUUUUGCUUUUGCUUUUAAUAGACUUUAUUUUUUAGAAAAGUUUUAGGUUCACAGCAAUUUUGAGCAGAAGGUACAGAGAAUUCCCAUAUAUUCCCUGGCCCCCAUACAUGCAUAGCCUCCCCAUUAUCACCAUCACCCACCAGAAUGAUAUAUUUGUUACAAUUGAUAAACCUAAUAUGAUACAUCAUAAUCAUCCAAAGUCAAUAGUUUACAUUUGGGUUUAUUCUUAGCACUGUACAUUCUAUGAGGUUGGACAAAUGUAUAAUGAAAUAUAUGUACCAUUAUAGUGUCAUGCAGAAUAGUUUCACUGCCAUAAAAAUCCUCUGUGCUUUGCCUAUUCAUCCGUCUCUUCUCCCUAACCCCUGGCAACCACUCGUCUUUGCUUUUUUUUUAAAUUAAGGUCAUAUUGGCUUACAACAUUGAGUAAAUUUCAGGUGUAUAUUAUUAUAUUUCAGUUUCUGUGUAGGCUGCAUCAUGUUCACCACCAAUAGUGUAGUUUUUAUCUAUCACCAUGCAUAUGUGCCCCUUUACCCCUUUCACUCUCCCCCUACCCCCUUCUCCUCUGCUAACUACUAAUCUGUUCUCCUUAUCUGUGUUUAUCUUUCACAUAAGAGUGAAAUCAUGGGAUAUUUGCCUUUCUCUGUCUGAUUUAUUUUGCUUAACAUAAUACUGUCAAGGUCCAUCCAUGUUGUCGCAAAUGGCAUGAUUUUGUCUUUUUUAUGGGUGAAUAGUAUUCCAUUCUAUAUAUACCACAUCUUCUUUAUCCAUUCAUCCAUUGAUGGGCACUUGAGAUUCUUACACAUCUUGGCUAUUGUGCAAUGAACAUAGGGAUGCAUAAAUCUUUUUGAAUUACUGUUUUCAAGUUCUUUGGAUAAAUACCCAGUAGUGAAAUAGCUGGAUUAUAUGGUAUUUCAAUUUUUAAUUUUUUGAGAAAUCUCCAUACUGUUUUCCAUAGUGACUGCACCAGUUUGCAUUCCCACCAGCAGUGUGUGAGGGUUCCCUUUUCUCCACACCCUUUCCGAUACUUGUUAUUUCUGUCUUGUUAAUUAUAGCCAUUCUGACCAGUGUAAGGUGACAUCUCAUUGUAGUUUUGAUUUGCUUUUCCCUAAUAAUUAGUGAUAUUGAACAUCUUUUCAUGUACUUGUUGGCCAUCUGUAUAUCUUCUUUGGAAAAAUGUCUGUUCAUAUCCUCUGCCCAUUUUUGCUGAGGUUGUUCAUUUUUUGUUGUUGUUGAGUUGUAUGAGUUCUUUAUAUAUUUUGGAAAUUAACUACUUGUCAGACAUAUGAUUCACAAAUAUUUUCUCCCAGUUGGUGGGCUGUCUUUUUAUUUUGUUGAUGGUUUCCUUUGCUCUGCAGAAGCUUUUUAGUCUCAUGUAGUCCCAUUUGUUCAUUUUUUCUUUUGUUUCCCUUGCCUGGUGAGACAUGGUAUUCAAAAAGCUACUGGUAAGACCAAUGUUGAAGAGUGUACUGCCUAUGUUUUCCUCUAGGAGUUUUGUGGUUUCAGGUCCUCCAUUCAAGUCUUUAAUCCAUUUUGAGUUAAUUUUUGUGUAUGGUGUAAGAUAAUGGUCUACUUUCGUUCUUUUGCAUGUGGCUGUCCAGUUUUCCCAACACCAUUUAUUGAAGAGACUUUCUUCUUUGUAUAUUCUUGGCUCCUUUGUCAAAGAUUAGCUGUCCCUAGAUGUAUAGUUUUACUUCUGGGCUCUCAAUUCUGUUCCAUUUAUCUGUGUGUCUAUCUUUCUGCUAGUACCAAGAUGUUUUGAUUACUAUAGCUUUGUAGUAUAUUUUGAAUUUAGGGAGUGUGAUAACCUCCAACUUUGUUCUUUUCUCUCAGGAUUGCUGUGGCCACUUGGAGUCUUAUUGUUCCACAUAAAUUUUAGGAUUCUUUGUUCUAUUUCUGUGAAGAAUGUCAUUGGGAUUCUGACUCUGAUUGCAUUGAAUCCAUAGAUUGCUUUAGGUAAUAUGGAUGUUAUAACUAUGUUUAUUCUUCCAAUCCAUGAACACAGAAUAUCUUUCCAUUUCUUUAUGUUUUCUUUGAUUUCUUUCGAUAAUGUCUUGUAGUUUUCAGUGUAUAGUUUUUCACUUCCUUGGUUAAAUUUAUUCUUGGGUACUUUAUUCUUUUUGUUGCAAUUGUAAAUAGGAUUGCAUUCUUGAUUUCACUUUCUGCUAGUUUGUUAUCAGUGUAUAGAACUGCAACUGACUUUUGUAUGUUGUUUUUUACCAUGCAACUUUACUGUAUUUGUUGAUUAUUUAUAAUAGUUUUUUUGAUGGAUUCUUUAGGGUUUCCUGUAUAUAUAGAAUCAUGUCACCCACAAAUUGUGACAGUUUUACUUCUUCCUUUCCAAUUUGGGUCCCUUUUAUUUCUUUUUCUUACCUAAUUUCUCUGACUAAAACUUCCAGUACUAUGUUGAAUAAGAAUGGCAGGAGUGGGAAUCUAUUUCUUGUUCCUGUUCACAGAGGAAUAACUUUCAGUUUUCAACAUUGAGUAUGAUGUUGGCUGUGGGUUUGUCAUAUACGGCCUUUAUUAUGUUGAGGUGCUUUCCUUCUAUGCUCAUUUUAUUGAGAGUUUUUAUCAUAAUUGGAUGUUGGAUCUUGUCAAAUGCUUUCUCUGUGUCUAUGGAGAUGAUCUUGUGAUUUUUAUUCUUCAUUUUGUUAAUGUGGCGUAUCAUAUUGAUUGAUUUGCAGAUAUUGAACCAUCCUUGCAUCCUUAGAAUAAAUUGCACUUGUUGGUGGUGUAUUAUCCUUUUAAUGUAUUGCUGUAUUCAAUUUGCUAAUAUUUUGUUGAUUUUGCAUCUAUGCUCAUCAGUGAUAUUGGCCUGUAAUUUUCCUUUUUUGUAUUGGCUUUUUCUGGUUUUGGUAUCAAGGUAAUAUUGGCCUCAUAAAAUGAGUUAUGAAGUGUCCCAUUCUCUCAUUUUUGGGGAGUGUUUGAGAAGGAUAGCAACGAAGUCUUCUUUGAAUGUUUGGUUGAAGUCAACAGUGAAGCGAUCUAGUCCUGGCCUUUUGUUUUCUGGGAGGUUUUUGAUUACUAUUUCAAUCUCCUUACUUGUGAUUGAUCUAUUCAGAUUCUUUAUUUAUUCUUGAUUUAGUUUUGGGAGAUUGUAUGAUUCUAAGAAUUUAUCCAUUUCUUCUAGGUUAUCCAAUUUUGUUGGUGUAUAGCUUUCUAUAGUAUUCUCUUAUAAUCCUUUGUAUUUCUGUGUUGUCUGUUAUAAUUUCUCCUCUUUCAUUUCUGAUUUUAUUUAUUUGAAUCUCCUCUCCUUUUUUCUUAGUGAGUCUAACUAAGGGUUUGUCAAUUUUGUUUGUCUUCUCAUAGAACAGCUCUUAGUUUCAUUGAUCCUUUCUAUUGUUUUUUAGUUUCUAUUUUGUUUAUUUCUGCUUUGAUUUUUAUUAUUUCCUUCCUUCUGCUGACUUUGUUCUUCUUUUUCUAGUUGUCUUAGGUAUAGCAUAAGCUGUUUAUUUGAGAUUUCUCUUAUUUCUUUUUUUGUGAGGAAGAUUGGCCCUGAGCUACCAUCUGUUGCCUAUUUUCCUCUUUUUGGCUUGAGGAAGACUGUCACUGAGCUAACAUCUAUGCCAAUCUUCCUCCAUUUUAUGUGGGAUGCCACCACAGCAUGGCUUGAUGAGCGAUGUUAGAUCCCCUCCUGGGAUCCAAACCUGUGAACUCCAGGCCACUGAAGCAAAGCACAUGAACUUAAUCACUAUGCCACCAGGUCGGUGGCCUACCUUUCUUAAAGUAGGCCUCUGUUGCUAUAAAUUUACCUCUUAGUACCACUUUUGCUGCCUCCCAUAAGAGUUGGAAUGUUGUGUUUUCAUUUUCAUUUGCCUCUAGGUAUUUUUUUAUUUCUCCUUUGAUUUCUUCAUGGAUACAAUGGUUGUUUAGUAGCAUGUUGUUUAGUCCUCAUAUAUUUGUGACUUUCCUAACUUUUUUCUUGUAGUUGAUUUCUAGUUUCAAAGCAUUGUGGUCAGAAAAGAUGCUUGAUAUGAUUUCAGUCUUCUUAAAUUUAUUAAGGCUUGCCUUGUUUCCCAACAUAUGGUCUAUCUUUGAGAAUGUUGCAUGUGUACUUGGGAAGAAUGUGUAUUCUGCUGUUUUUUUUGGGUGGAAUGUUCUGCAUUUAUCUAUUAAGCCCAUCUGGGCUAGUGUUUCAUUUAAGUCCACUGUUUUCUUGACUUUCUGUCUGGAUAGUCUAUCCAUUGACAUAAUUAGGGGGUUAAGGUCCCCUACUAUUACUGUGUUGCUGUCAAUUUCUCUCUUUAGGUCUGUUAAUACUUGGUUUAUAUACUCUGGUGCUCCUGUGUUAGGUACAUAUAUAUUAAUAAUUGUUAUGUCCUCUUGGUGGAAUGUCCCUUUUAUUGUUAUAUAACGCCCAUCUAUAUCUCUUAUCUUUCUUAUCUUGAAGUCUGUUUUGUCUAAGUAUGGCUACACUUGCUUUCUUUUGCUUGCCAUUUGCUUGGAAUAUCAUCUUCCAUCCCUUCACUCUGAGCCUAUGUUUGUCUUUAGACCUGAAAUGUGUUUCCUGGAGGCAGCAUAUUGUUGGGUCUUGUUUUUUUAAUCCAUCCAGUCAUUCUGUUUCUUUUGAUUGAUGAAUUCAAUCCAUUUACAUUUAGGGUGAUUAUUGAUAUAUAAAGGCUUAAUACUGCUAUUUUAUCUUUUUUUCCCCAGUUGUUCUAUAUUUCCAUUGUUUCUUUUCCUUUGUAUUUCUGUCUGCCAAUUUAGUUUGAUGGUUUUCUGUGAUGUUUUUCUCAGUUUUCUCUUUAUUUAUGAUUUGUGAGUCUGCUCUGAUUUUUUGUUUUGUGGCCACUAUGAGGUUUGUAUAAAAGAUCUCAUAGAUGAGGUAGUCCAUUUUCUGAUAGCCUCUCAUCUCCAUUAGCCUGUGCAAGUUCUCCCCCUUUCCUCUUUCUCUUCUGUGUUUUUGUUGUCACAAAUUAUUCUUUUUUGUGUUGUGAAUUUGUGACCAAAUUGAAGUGGUUAUAGUUAUUUUUGACACUUUCUUUUCUUUAGUCCUUUAUAAUUGUUUACUAACCUAUUCUGAUAUGGAGCUGCAAUUUUCUGUCUAUUUAUCUCCUUGCUCAAACUUUGUAAACCUUUGCCUUUUUGUUUCAGGAAGGACGGCUUCUUUCAGUCUUUCUUGUAAGGCCAGUCUGGUGGGCCUGGGCACCCACUACCUCCAUUCACAGUCUCAUGAACCACUGUGUAAGGAUAUGCACCUUGGAUCCUUGCCACUGGGGGAGGGGAAGAGGGCUGCUCCCUAGUUCUUCUGCCUCCUGGGAGUCCAGUCCAUCCACCUUCAGACGUAUAGAUGCAUGAAUGUUUUAGGUGUCAUUUUGUGCUGUGUAGGGAAUCCUCUGUUUGGUCAAUGAAUGUCUGUUUGGUUGUAACUUGUAGGAGAGAAACAAAGGGAACAACUCAUUCCACCAUGAUGCUGAUGUCACUCAACCACUGGUCUUUUUACUGUCUCCACAGUUUUGCCUUUUCCAGAAUAUCACAUAGUUGGGAUCAUACUGUAUGUAGCCUUUUCAGAUUGGCUUCUUUCACUUAGUAAUAUGCAUAUAAGUUCUAUCAUGUCUUUUCAUGGCUUGAUAGCUCAUUUUCUUUAGUGCUGAAUAAUAUUCUAUCAUCAAUAAAAUUUGUAAACUUCUAGCAAUGUUAACUAAAUAAAUAAAAAGGAGACAUAAAUUACUAAUAUCAGAAAUGAAAGAGGGGCCACCAAUACUGAUCCCAUAGACAUUAAAAUGACAAUAAAGGGAUAUUAAGAACAAUUCCCUACCCACAAAUUUGAUAACCUAGAUGAAAUGAACCAAUUCCUUGAAAGACAUGAUUUGCCAAAAUUUGCACUUGAAGAAAUGGACAAUCAGAAUAGGCCCAUGUCAAUUAAAGAAAUUAAAUCAAUAAAUAAUAGCCUGCCAAAAGGCCCAGAUGAGUUCACUGAUGCACUCUACCAAGAAUUUAAGAAAGGAAUUACAUGAGUUAUCUACAAUCUCUUCCAGAAGAUAGAAGCAGAGGGAACACUUCCUAACACAUUCUAUGAGGCCAGCAUUACCUUAAUACUAAAACCAAAGAUAUUACAAGAAAAGAAAUUACAUAACAAUAUCUCUCAUGAACAUAAAUGCAAAAAUCCUCAACAAAAUAUUAGAAAAUACAAUUCAAUAAUAUAUAAGAAGAAUUAAACACUACAGUCAAGUAGGCUUUAUUCUACUGAUAGGCUGAUUCAACAUUCAAAUAUCAAUAUGAUCCAUCACAUCACCAGAAUAAGGAAAAAAAAUCAUAUGAUCACAUCAAUAGUUGCAGAAAAACAUCUGACAAAAUCUCACACCAAUUCAUGAUUAAAAACUCUCAGCAAAUUAAGAAUGGAGGGAAACUUCCUCAAUUUGAUAAAAAAUAUCUAAAAAAAGUCUACAGCUAACAUCAUGCUUAAUGAUGAGGAAGUAGAUACUUUCCUGCUAAGAUCAGAAACAAGGCAAAGAUGUCUACUCUCUGAUUCUGAUUCAACAUCAUACUGGAAAUCCCAGAUAAUUCAAUAAGACAAGGAAAUAAAAGGUAUACAGCUUGGAAAGAAAGAAAGAAAAUUAUAUAUAUUCACAGAGAAUAUGAUUGUCUAUGUGUAAAAUCCCAAAGAAUCAGCAAAAAAAACCUGCUGGAACUAAUGAGCAAUUGUAGCAAGGUUGCAAGAUACAAAGUUAAAAUACAAAAAUCAACCGCUAUCUUGUAUACUAGUAAUGAAUAUUGGAAUUUGAAAUAAAAAACACGUUUACGUUAGCACCAAAAAGUGAAAUACUUAGGUAUAAAUCUAAUAAAAUAUGUUCAAGAUGUAUAUGAGGAAUACUAUAAAACUCUGAUAAAUCAGUGAUCUAAAUAAAUGGAGAGAUAUUCUAUGUACAUGGGUAGGAAGACUCAAUAUUGUGAAGAUGUCAGUUCUUCCCGACUUAAUCUAUAGAUUUAAUGAAAGUCCAGUCAAAAUCUAGCAAGUUAUUAUCAAUAGAUUUGAUUCUAAAAUUUAUAUAGAAAGACAAAAGAUUGAGAAUCUCCAAUACAAUAUUGAAAGGGAAGAAGAAAGUCAGAGGACUGAUGUUACCUGACUACAAGACUUAAAAGACUUCAUACAAAGCUACAGUGAUCAGGGCAGUGUGGUAUUGACAACCUUAAGUUCUAUGCCCUGCAAAUAAAAUCCUUUAAAAAUUGAGGCCACUGUGAAAGGAGGGCUGAGUAUCUGCAGUGACCCCAUCCCCUCCACAGAUGUGACCCAGAUUCUGUAUCACCGUUGGCUCCCAACACACAGCAGCAGUGACGCCUAGUGGAGCCUAGGUUCUGGAGUUGGCACUGAUGCUACUGACCCAGGCAGAAGGACUUUAUAAAAUGAAACAAAAGACAUACAGUAACUCUGGGGCUUUCAUUUUGACAUCAUUAAGUUGUUCUUUUAUAAUUAGGCUUUAAAAUAAGAAUGAUCUGCCCACCACCACCAAAAAAAGUUAUAUUUCAUUUUUAUCCCAGAAGGUUGAACACUCUUUCUGCAUAUAAAAGGGGUUUGCUUAAGUCAUUUUUUUCCAUAAUAAAGAUCUUCUUCUCUACCAUGGCUGAAUUCUUUACUUUCAGAAACAUGUUAUAAACUCUUAAUUGGCAAUUUCUCUUUCAAAUAAAUAAAUUACAAACAAGAAACAAUGAUCACUUCAUCAGGCAUUUGGCCAUCUUCACCACCAAGCCUGGUAAGAGCCUCUGUUCUCCACAUUCAUAGGUGGACCAUUGACCCAAACCCUGGCACCCUCCAGGAUUCCAAGACCAGCUUCUGCUCACUGUUCUAUCCUUUUUCCUAUGGGCAGAGGCUGCGUGGAGAGAAUUGCUCAUGGCAGAGUCCCGGGUGAUGGAUAGAAGAGGCUCUGGGUCUGAGUCUGCCAGAGAGAUACUAAGAGAGUGAGAUUUUGUUUAAAGAAACAAAGAUGGCAAAUUCAGCUGAUAGAAUGAUGUACUCCCUCUGCAGAGGUAACCACUGUUCUGAAGAUGACCGAGUGCUGACAAUGGCAGGGCCACAUGAUGAAGGGAGGCUGCAUCAAUGAGUCACUCCAUUGGAGACCACUUGGACUGAACUACCACAAGGCUCCAUUGAAAAUACAUGAAAUGUUAAGACAUUGACAGUUCCUGCUGAUGUCUCCUGAGUUCUGAUAAUUGAAAUCCAGAUCAGUGAUGUAAUGCCUUUGGUGAGGAGCUUCAUUUCUCUGACCCUGCUUGUCUGUGCUGACCAAACACAGGCUCAAGCAAGCCUACAGGGAAGGGAGAUCCCUGUAACCUUUCUAGACAGGACCAGGCUUCAAGGCUACAAAAUGAAACUUCAAAUCAGAAGAAGGAGGCUUGCCUAGGAACAUGGGCAUGUGAGUUCUCUACUGCAACUUGUCUUACCAUUAUGUCCAGACACGCUUGUGUGCAGAGAAUGCAUUAUAGUUAUAGCAUGACACUACUUUAAUCUUCUAGUUUUGUGUAAUGUCAGGUGGGGCCUAGAGUAGCCAGAGCUCACGGGCUAGUUUCCUCUGGCUGCAGUCAGUCUUUUAUAUUCCCCCAAUGCACAGUACAAAUAAUAUCACUUUCUGUGUGUGCAGUAAUGAACAGAACAAAGAAGGUAAUGUUUAGCCACCUAGGCCUCACUUGCCCUGCCCCACUGAUGGUUGCUAGGCACUUGUUUUAGAAGUACACCACUUCACAGAGUUGCAAGCAGGCAAGUGUGGUCCACAGAAUACUAACAACCAGGGGCCGAGCUUCAUUGCCUUUGGAGCCAUGGAGGGCCUUCAGACUGCAACAAAAAUAUCUGUCCAGUUAGUCCUGGAGCAGUGCUCUGGUGGUGGGAUCUGAAUACUUGAGACAAAGCCCUUUGGGUUUCCUUUGAGUGUGUGCUAUGAUUUUUUUUUUUUUUUAGUAAGAAGCCAACAUACUUUAAAGAGAAAUAAAGAGCUAGCCAAAUACUUUUCUGCCUUGGUUGAAGAAUAUUGUUGUGUCAGUGAAAAGAUUAAAGAGUUUACACAAAGCUAUGAAGCCCUCGAGUCACUUCUCACAGAGGCCAGGCCUCUGAAGGUAACACUCUGUGUUUGGCAGCACUUAAUAGAAAUAUGACCAGGUCCAUCUCUUCACUUGAGGAUACAGUAGACCUCUCAAAAAUGAAUGGAAAAGUGGACUCUCUCGUGUGAUAAUGGCUCAUCUUCAAGGACAGACAUGAUUGGUCAAAGAUGGAUGAAAAUCCUUCCAAUCCAAGGCCAGUGCUGGUGGUCUAGUGGUUCAGUUCAGCGCACUCCACUUCUGCAGCCCAGGUUUGGCUCCUGGGCAUGGACCUGCACCACUCAUCUGUCGGUGGCUAUGCUUUGGUGGUGGCUCACACACAAAAAGAGGAAGAUUGGCAGCAGAUGUUAGCUCAGGGCAAAUCUUCCUGAGCAAAAAAAUAAAAUCCUUCCAAUCCCAACUAACUAAGGCCAAAGCCAUCUCAGAAAAAAAUAUAGAACAACUUCAGAGGGAAAUAAUGAAGGGUUUGGAUGAAAACACUCAUUUAUAAGAAAGCCUAAUCUGCUUUCCCAAAAAGAUGGUGGAUAGAAAGAGUAUAGGAACUGAAGGACCAGGAAAAUAAAAAUGCUUGGAAAGUAUUACACAUGAAUAAGACAGGCUGUAAAUGAUAAAGAGAGCUCUUAAAACCUCUGACUGAAACCAUGCUGCAGGUGAUACCUGUAGCUACCGAUUGUGGAGAAGAUCACACAGAUGAUGGCAACUUCCUUCUUCCAAAGGAGGAGAGUCAUGCCAUGAGGUCACAGGGAUCCAGGGUCACAUGCACUUUCAACUCAGACUUCAAAGUAGCCAAUCCCUGAACACCCACACCCACUGCCGGACAUCUGCACCCCCC